Molecule: non-coding RNA, 242 nt
Organism: Pelobates cultripes (western spadefoot toad)
Lineage: Eukaryota; Metazoa; Chordata; Amphibia; Anura; Pelobatidae
Source: the annotation of a GenBank genome assembly
ACAGGUUCCUACAAUGGAGAUCCCUGAAGGUUGCAAAUAAAUUAUUUAAAAAUCCAAAGUCACCUAGGCUACUUCAUCUCAACGACGUGGUCUUGGUGCAGUGGGCCUUCAGUUUUAACUCUGUAAUGUAGAAUAUUGCAGUUUUUUUAGAAACUUCAAGGUUUACAUCGUAGGGUUAAAUCUAACGCUAGUCAUGGUCUUCUUGACAUCCACUAGAGACUCUCUACGUCACUGACCCAGUG